GGUCACUGUGCUUAAGAGUACAAUUUAUAACAAAUACUCACUCGUUAAUUUUAUUGUUCUGACAAAAUGAAUAAACUUGUGUUACUACUUCUUAUAGUUUGCCUUUGCAAGAGCAUAGACACAUCUUGUUCUAAGCGAUGCGGUGAGCGAUCCUGUCCCUCACGCGGGUGUGACUCCUGCAUGAGUCCGUGCAACGAUCGACCAUAUCCUUGUGAUCGGGAAUGCGAAUGUCUGAAAGCGGCGAUGCGUUUUCCAGAAGUGGAAUAUCCGAUGACGGUGAUCGAAAUCAAGCCGUACUGCUGCGGUUGCGGUUGGUGUACAUAGUUUACUUAUAAUAUUCUAUUGAAUAAACAUU
Long non-coding RNA from Vanessa atalanta (red admiral), 355 nucleotides. RefSeq lists it as uncharacterized. The record is from RefSeq and is a predicted model, not a curated record. NCBI's taxonomy places the organism in Eukaryota, Metazoa, Arthropoda, Insecta, Lepidoptera, Nymphalidae. The transcript is spliced from 2 exons.